ACUACGUUGCGGCUCUUCAUCGGGCACUUUGCUUUUUUAAAUGCCAGCUGCCUUUUGAAGGGCAACACUGUGGU
RNAcentral lists this microRNA precursor (74 nucleotides) under Camponotus floridanus (Florida carpenter ant). Its description in RNAcentral is "mir-980 microRNA precursor family". It matches the Rfam family "mir-980 microRNA precursor family". The record is from Rfam by way of RNAcentral. Lineage: Eukaryota; Metazoa; Arthropoda; Insecta; Hymenoptera; Formicidae.